AGAUUGAACGCUGGCGGCAGGCCUAGCACAUGCAAGUCGAGCGGCAGCACGGGUACUUGUACCUGGUGGCGAGCGGCGGACGGGUGAGUAAUGCCUAGGAAUCUGCCUGAUAGGUGGGGGAUAACGCUCGGAAACGGACGCUAAUACCGCAUACGUCCUACGGGAGAAAGCAGGGGACCUUCGGGCCUUGCGCUAUCAGAUGAGCCUAGGUCGGAUUAGCUAGUUGGUGGGUAAUGGCUCACCGAAGGCGACGAUCCGUAACUGGUCUGAGAGGAUGAUCAGUCACACUGGAACUGAGACACGGUCAGACUCGUACGGGAGCAGCGAGGUAGGGAAU
Molecule: ribosomal RNA, 337 nt
Filed under: uncultured soil bacterium
Lineage: Bacteria
Description: bacterial SSU rRNA
Rfam family: Bacterial small subunit ribosomal RNA
Source: RNAcentral